CCCUUAGAUGUUCUGGGCCGCACGCGCGCUACACUGAUGCAUUCAACGAGUCUAAAACCUGCUCUGAUAGGGGUGGGUAAUCUUUUGAAUGUGCAUUGUGAUUGGGAUAGAUGAUUGCAAUUUUUCAUCUUCAACGAGGAAUGCCUAGUAAACGCAAGUCGUCAGCUUGCAUUGAUUACGUCCCUGCCCUUUGUACACACCGCCCGUCGCUCCUACCGAUUGAAUGAUCCGAUGAAUAUUAUGGAUUGAGGAUGCAAGUAGGUUAGCCUAUCUUCAUCUUCGAGAAGUGAAGUAAAUCUUAUCAUUUAGAGGAAGGAGAAGUCGUAACA
RNAcentral lists this ribosomal RNA (329 nucleotides) under uncultured eukaryote. RNAcentral describes it as "partial 18S ribosomal RNA". It matches the Rfam family "Eukaryotic small subunit ribosomal RNA", at positions 1470 to 1796 of the family's 1831-position model. The record is from RNAcentral.